GUGGGGAAUAUUGGACAAUGGGCGCAAGCCUGAUCCAGCAAUGCCGCGUGGGUGAAGAAGGCCUUCGGGUUGUAAAGCCCUUUUGUACGGGAAGAAAUCAUUCGGGUUAAUACCCUGGGCUAAUGACGGUACCGUAAGAAUAAGCACCGGCUAACUACGUGCCAGCAGCCGCGGUAAUACGUAGGGUGCAAGCGUUAAUCGGAAUUACUGGGCGUAAAGCGUGCGCAGGCGGUUUUGUAAGACAGGCGUGAAAUCCCCGGGCUCAACCUGGGAAUUGCGCUUGGGACUGCAAGGCUGGAGUGCGGCAGAGGGGGAUGGAAUUCCGCGUGUAGCAGUGAAAUGCGUAGAUAUGCGGAGGAACACCGAUGGCGAAGGCAAUCCCCUGGGCCUGCACUGACGCUCAUGCACGAAAGCGUGGGGAGCAAACAGGAUUAGAUACCCGGGUAGUCC
RNAcentral lists this ribosomal RNA (450 nucleotides) under uncultured bacterium. Its description in RNAcentral is "bacterial SSU rRNA". It matches the Rfam family "Bacterial small subunit ribosomal RNA", at positions 354 to 796 of the family's 1533-position model. The record is from RNAcentral.